RNAcentral lists this ribosomal RNA (427 nucleotides) under uncultured bacterium. Its description in RNAcentral is "partial 16S ribosomal RNA". It matches the Rfam family "Bacterial small subunit ribosomal RNA", at positions 355 to 774 of the family's 1533-position model. The record is from RNAcentral.
UGGGGAAUAUUGCACAAUGGGCGCAAGCCUGAUGCAGCCAUGCCGCGUGUGUGAAGAAGGCCUUCGGGUUGUAAAGCACUUUCAGCGAGGAGGAAGGGUAGUGUGUUAAUAGCACAUUGCAUUGACGUUACUCGCAGAAGAAGCACCGGCUAACUCCUUGCCAGCAGCCGCGGUAAUACGGAGGGUGCAAGCGUUAAUCGGAAUUACUGGGCGUAAAGCGCACGCAGGCGGUUUGUUAAGUCAGAUGUGAAAUCCCCGCGCUUAACGUGGGAACUGCAUUUGAAACUGGCAAGCUAGAGUCUUGUAGAGGGGGGUAGAAUUCCAGGUGUAGCGGUGAAAUGCGUAGAGAUCUGGAGGAAUACCGGUGGCGAAGGCGGCCCCCUGGACAAAGACUGACGCUCAGGUGCGAAAGCGUGGGGAGCAAACA